RNAcentral lists this ribosomal RNA (253 nucleotides) under uncultured bacterium. RNAcentral's name for it is "partial 16S ribosomal RNA". It matches the Rfam family "Bacterial small subunit ribosomal RNA", at positions 524 to 776 of the family's 1533-position model. The record is from RNAcentral.
UACGUAGGCAGCAAGCGUUGUUCGGAAUUACUGGGCGUAAAGAGUGUGUAGGCGGUGCUCUAAGUUCGGUGUGAAAUCUCCCGGCUCAACCGGGAGGGUGCGCCGAAAACUGGGGGACUAGAGUGUGGGAUGGGAGAGUAGAAUUCCUGGUGUAGCGGUGAAAUGCGUAGAUAUCAGGAGGAAUACCGGUGGUGUAGACGGCUCUCUGGACCGCCACUGACGCUGAGACACGAAAGCGUGGGUGGCAAACAGG